CAGAUGUUACAAAGAACUUUUUAGGUAAGAUACAGUUCUGAAAACUGAUAUUUCAUGCACCAAACUAAAAGUUUCUACUUUGAAUGCCUGCAUAUCUUUGUUGAGGGUGGAGGGAUGAGGGCUACCUCUGAUUGUGAAGCUCUAUUAUGAGUUUAAUUUGUUGCAGAUUUAUUUCUUUUCUUAAAAAGUUGAAAACAGAGUUGAUGUUGCAUCUUAGUAUGUGUUUCAGAAUGGUUCCAAGUAUCACUCCUAUCUCCACCACUCCACCAACCCCCAACCCCCUGUGUUCUUUACAUUUUGCAGCAUUAAUUUUUUUUCUUUCCUGAUAGCUGAUUCAUAUUUGUACUGAGUGUUGGUCGUAAAAUUUCAUUUUUGUAGCAAUGUAGCUAUGUUGGCUGAGAAGGGAAGGUACAUUGAUAGCAUUGUUAAGAAAUUUGUGGCGUUGACCAUGGAAGAUAAGGAAGUAUUGAAAGCUAUAGUCACAACUGUCGUUGUAAGUUUGACACUUUGGUUCACUAUCAAACCUAUAUUGUUAAUAUCUGUUGCAGUUCUGUCUCUUAUCUAUUGUAUUUUUCUAUACAUCAGGAUAUCUCCUUGUGGAAUUGAAUUUUGAAACUAUUUGAUAUCUAUGUAAUUUUUACUUUAGUCAGAUGCAUAGUGCCUGUAGCCUGAAUUAUAUUCAAAUCUAUAUUAUCUUCUUGUCACCUAACGUAUUUAGCUGAUCCUUGCAAUUUAUAGUAGUAAUGUUGCAGUUGCCUACUUGCCUGCUGCUUUGUUUUGUGAAUUAGCUGUUGCAAUUUCACUCCCAGCCCUUGCCUCUGUAAGAGAAGAAAGAAUAGAAGGAGACUUUGCAGUAUAAACUUGGGCAGGGGAAGAUAGUUAAGCUAGAACAGAAGAUUGAUCCAGGUAUUCUUGGUGAUCUUGUGCUAGAGUUUGGGCAGAAGGUGUUUUGAUGUGUCCAUUAAGACAAGGGCGAAGCAGAUGGAGGGGUUCCUGCAUGAGCCUAUAAACGUUGGCACCCUUUAAAAGGUGCUGCACCUCUUGGGGAUACCUCUGCAACAACUUCCAUCAAUGCUCUAGGAAGGAAAAUGAUAGGGAUAGAACCAGGAGGAAUGGAUCAAGACCCAAAGGCAUUGUGUUAUAUUACAUGAAACAAUGAAAAAAGAAAAUAUGAAGGGCAGUCUCUACAAGCCAUUGAGGUUCUAUCGUAGAGACUGCCUCUUCUGUUUUCUUCUUUCAUUGCUUCGUCUAAUACACCCUCAAUGGCACUGGGCCUUGAUCCAUUUCUUUUAGUUCCAUCCCUAUCACAAAAUUACUCUGAACCCAUUUUCAUAUGAUGGGAAAGCAUCUCUUCACAAAUAAAAAUUUGUUCGGGUCAGGGCAACCGCUAGCAGACCUCUUGGUAUCCUAUACAUAUAGAGUUUUACGCCCAUUUUUGUGAUGCAUACCAGCUUUUUCUGUUUUUUUUUUUUU
This 1473-nucleotide unclassified non-coding RNA is filed under the name Hevea brasiliensis (rubber tree). The record is from RNAcentral. Lineage: Eukaryota; Viridiplantae; Streptophyta; Magnoliopsida; Malpighiales; Euphorbiaceae.